RNAcentral lists this unclassified non-coding RNA (206 nucleotides) under Hevea brasiliensis (rubber tree). Lineage: Eukaryota; Viridiplantae; Streptophyta; Magnoliopsida; Malpighiales; Euphorbiaceae. The record is from RNAcentral.
GCCUCAUAUCCCUCUCCUGUUGCAGACAUCGGAAAGCCAAUUCUGCAACUGAUGUUGCCAUCUUCCUCACUGCAUAAUCCUUCUUGAACCCAAGACAUGGAUCUACCAACUCAUUUAUUGCAUGAUUUUGGAUUUUGUUGACAGCCAUGUUGGCCAAAUUAAUGUCAAGCUUAUGCCUAUUGGUGUCCACUGCCUGUAAAGAUGAU